AUAUACCUAUGUGCAUAUUUAUUUUUUUUUCUUAUGAGGGAGUCAGUUUUCAUAAAAAUACAUCGUAAAUGAGGGAUUGUGGCAUAAAUAUCAGAAUUAGAGCAUUUUGAUCAUAUAUUUAAAAAAAAAAUAUUUUUGUGUUAUUUGGUGUGCGAAACAUACCAAAAUUCUGAAUAAAGGCGAAACCGUUUGAUUAAGUUUCAAAGUUUAUCAAUUUGUGGGCAUUUAAAAGCAAUGAAACCCAACCUGAAACCUCUUAUAAUAAAUAUCUCUUUUACUCAUUCUUCAAGUCACUGGUUGGGAAAGACGUUGUAGUGGAACUGAAAAAUGAUGUCAGCAUUUGCGGGACACUUCAUUCUGUAGAUCAGUAUCUUAACAUAAAACUCAAUGAUAUAAAUAUAACAGAUC
Molecule: long non-coding RNA, 408 nt
Organism: Culicoides brevitarsis
Lineage: Eukaryota; Metazoa; Arthropoda; Insecta; Diptera; Ceratopogonidae
Exons: 3
Source: RefSeq, a predicted model, not a curated record